GGCGGAAAAAUAAGUCUAAUGUGAAAGCCCUCGGCUUAACCGAGGAACUGCAUCGGAAACUGUUUUUCUUGAGUGCAGAAGAGGAGAGUGGAACUCCAUGUGUAGCGGUGGAAUGCGUAGAUAUAUGGAAGAACACCAGUGGCGAAGGCGGCUCUCUGGUCUGCAACUGACGCUGAGGCUCGAAAGCAUGGGUAGCGAACAGGAUUAGAUACCCUGGUAGUCCAUGCCGUAAACGAUGAGUGCUAAGUGUUGGGAGGUUUCCGCCUCUCAGUGCUGCAGCUAACGCAUUAAGCACUCCGCCUGGGGAGUACGACCGCAAGGUUGAAACUCAAAGGAAUUGACGGGGGCCCGCACAAGCGGUGGAGCAUGUGGUUUAAUUCGAAGCAACGCGAAGAACCUUACCAGGUCUUGACAUCUAGUGCAAUCUGUAGAGAUACGGAGUUCCCUUCGGGGACGCUAAGACAGGUGGUGCAUGGCUGUCGUCAGCUCGUGUCGUGAGAUGUUGGGUUAAGUCCCGCAACGAGCGCAACCCUUGUUAUUAGUUGCCAGCAUUAAGUUGGGCACUCUAAUGAGACUGCCGGUGACAAACCGGAGGAAGGUGGGGAUGACGUCAAGUCAUCAUGCCCCUUAUGACCUGGGCUACACACGUGCUACAAUGGGCAGUACAACGAGAAGCAAGCCUGCGAAGGCAAGCGAAUCUCUGAAAGCUGUUCUCAGUUCGGACUGCAGUCUGCAACUCGACUGCACGAA
This 750-nucleotide ribosomal RNA is filed under the name uncultured Bacillota bacterium. RNAcentral describes it as "bacterial SSU rRNA". It matches the Rfam family "Bacterial small subunit ribosomal RNA", at positions 574 to 1324 of the family's 1533-position model. Lineage: Bacteria; Bacillati; Bacillota. The record is from RNAcentral.